Molecule: ribosomal RNA, 301 nt
Filed under: uncultured bacterium
Lineage: Bacteria
Description: partial 16S ribosomal RNA
Rfam family: Bacterial small subunit ribosomal RNA
Source: RNAcentral
CAGCAGCCGCGGUAAUACGAAGGGUGCAAGCGUUAAUCGGAAUUACUGGGCGUAAAGCGUGCGUAGGCGGUUUGUUAAGUCUGUUGUGAAAUCCCCGGGCUCAACCUGGGAAUGCCAAGUGAUACUGCUGUGCUAGAGUGCGGAAGAGGCAACCGGAGUUCUUGGUGUAGCAGUGAAAUGCGUAGAGAUCGGAAGGAACAUCUGUGGCGAAGGCGACUAUCUGGGCCAACACUGACACUGAGGCACGAAAGCGUGGGGAGCAAACAGGAUUAGAUACCCCCGUAGUCCCUGUCUCUUAUAC